GAUGAACGCUGGCGGCGCGCCUAACACAUGCAAGUCGAACGGCACCUAUCUUCGGAUAGAAGCGAGUGGCGAACGGCUGAGUAACACGUGGAGAACCUGCCCCCUCCCCCGGGAUAGCCGCCCGAAAGGACGGGUAAUACCGGAUACCCCGGGGUGCCGCAUGGCACCCCGGCUAAAGCCCCGACGGGAGGGGAUGGCUCCGCGGCCCAUCAGGUAGACGGCGGGGUGACGGCCCACCGUGCCGACAACGGGUAGCCAGGUUGAGAGACCGACCGGCCAGAUUGGGACUGAGACACGACCCAGACUCCUACGGGAGGCAGCAGUGGGGAAUCUUGCGCAAUGGGGGGAACCCUGACGCAGCGACGCCGCGUGCGGGACGGAGGCCUUCGGGUCGUAAACCGCUUUCAGCAGGGAAGAGUCAAGACUGUACCUGCAGAAGAAGCCCCGGCUAACUACGUGCCAGCAGCCGCGGUAAUACGUAGGGGGCGAGCGUUAUCCGGAUUCAUUGGGCGUAAAGCGCGCGUAGGCGGCCCGGCAGGCCGGGGGUCGAAGCGGGGGGCUUCAACCCCCCCGAAGCCCCCCGGAACCUCCGCGGCUUGGGUCCGGUAGGGGAGGGUGGAACACCCGGUGUAGCGGUGGAAUGCGCAGAUAUCGGGUGGAACACCGGUGGCGAAGGCGGCCCUCUGGGCCGAGACCGACGCUGAGGCGCGAAAGCUGGGGGAGCGAACAGGAUUAGAUACCCUGGUAGUCCCAGCCGUAAACGAUGGACGCUAGGUGUGGGGGGACGAUCCCCCCGUGCCGCAGCCAACGCAUUAAGCGUCCCGCCUGGGGAGUACGGCCGCAAGGCUAAAACUCAAAGGAAUUGACGGGGGCCCGCACAAGCAGCGGAGCAUGUGGCUUAAUUCGAGGCAACGCGAAGAACCUUACCAGGGCUUGACAUAUGGGUGAAGCGGGGGAGACCCCGUGGCCGAGAGGAGCCCAUACAGGUGGUGCAUGGCUGUCGUCAGCUCGUGUCGUGAGAUGUUGGGUUAAGUCCCGCAACGAGCGCAACCCCCGCCGCGUGUUGCCAUCGGGUGAUGCCGGGAACCCACGCGGGACCGCCGCCGUCAAGGCGGAGGAGGGCGGGGACGACGUCAAGUCAUCAUGCCCCUUAUGCCCUGGGCUGCACACGUGCUACAAUGGCCGGUACAGAGGGAUGCCACCCCGCGAGGGGGAGCGGAUCCCGGAAAGCCGGCCCCAGUUCGGAUUGGGGGCUGCAACCCGCCCCCAUGAAGUCGGAGUUGCUAGUAAUCGCGGAUCAGCAUGCCGCGGUGAAUGCGUUCCCGGGCCU
Molecule: ribosomal RNA, 1330 nt
Filed under: uncultured bacterium
Lineage: Bacteria
Description: bacterial SSU rRNA
Rfam family: Bacterial small subunit ribosomal RNA
Source: RNAcentral